AGUAAGGGCCUUAUCCAUAGA
RNAcentral lists this microRNA (21 nucleotides) under Monodelphis domestica (gray short-tailed opossum). RNAcentral's name for it is "mdo-miR-7386n-3p". The record is from miRBase by way of RNAcentral. Lineage: Eukaryota; Metazoa; Chordata; Mammalia; Didelphimorphia; Didelphidae.